Silurus meridionalis is the source of this 1261-nucleotide long non-coding RNA. RefSeq lists it as uncharacterized. The transcript is spliced from 2 exons. Lineage: Eukaryota; Metazoa; Chordata; Actinopteri; Siluriformes; Siluridae. The record is from RefSeq and is a predicted model, not a curated record.
GUGAUGGACUAAUUUGCUAUAUUUGGUAUGAUCCAUGCUCUUGCUUAAGGCCGGCCCGUGGGUCCUAUUUUGGACGGUUUGGUAUUCAUUAGGUCCUGUGUUUUGUCUGUGUUGUCACUUGGCUAGUUUUUGGGUUGAGGCAGGGGUCUCAAUAUGAGGGAAUUAAAGUCUGUCUGUACCUACAGUACAUCACUCUGACUUCCUUUCUCUCUCUCUCUCUCUCUCUCUCUCUCUCCCUCCCUCUCUCAUUCCCUUUCUUACUCUCUCUGUCUGUCUGUCUCUGUCUCCUUCCGCCCUCGAACUGUCUAUCAGCUCUUGACCACAAAUCCAUCUUCAAUCUUCCAACUUCUUUCCUCACUACGAUGGCUAAAUACGUAUUUACAGGGCUGCGGUGUGCUGACCUCGUUCUCACCCCGGUGCCACCCAGCCAGUGCGGGACUCAGGCACGAUUGGCCCCUGCCAAAACUCCACAGCGGCACAUCUGCUAUCCAUAAACGCCAGCCACUCACUUCAUCUCCCUCGCCCACCCCCUACCUCCUUCACUUCUCCUGUUGCUUAAUUUUCUGUUUUGCCAUCCGAGCAAGCCAUGUACUGUUCUCCUGCCAUCUUGCUGUUUUUUAAAUUCUGCCCAAGCAAGUAACGGUUCUUCUUAGUCCUGUCCUUCCAACCCAAUGAUCCAUCUCCCACUCUUUAUCUUGCUCCAACGGAAAACUUUCUCACCCAUUAUAUCCUAAACUGGAAGCCAGCUAAGUGUGGUGGCUGUGAAUUAGGAGCCGCAGGACGAUCCAGCUCCAAGCCAACACCAUUAACCCAUUCUGCUAUUCCCAUGGCCCAUUACUAUCACUGUCUGCAUGAGAUAUCCUAAUUAUAUCUCUCCAGGUUGGCUUUGUUGUGAGACAAAAAUUACUUUCACUCAACACUCAGUAAACCGAACAUUUCCUUCUGCAAAGGGCAGGGAUGUUUUCGGGUGAUCUGUACGGCUCUAGAGGAACGCUCCCCAUCCACAUUCCAUUCAUGUGUUGCUUAAAGUUAAGGACAAUCUCCAGUGUGGGAGGAUUAGAUUUCCUCUCUAGAUCAUAAGCAUUUGGCCAGGCGCACCACACCCAUUAGCUUUAAAAAAGAUGUGUUUAACACGUCCUCACUGAAUACCCUGUGUGCACUAUGGCUGAAAAAAAAGGAACAAAAAAUAAAUUGAGUGCCUUAACUUAAACCUUCCAGAGCUUCAAGUGCACCCCUAGGCAAUAAAGAAGUAUUACCCUUG